CCGAGUUCAUGCCCUUACGGGUAGAUCUCCCACCCUUUGUAUACUAUACCUUUGUUGCUUUGGCGGGCCGCCUAGCUACUGGCUUCGGCUGGUAAGUGCCCGCCAGAGGACCCCAAACUCUGAAUGUUAGUGUCGUCUGAGUACUAUACAAUAGUUA
This 157-nucleotide unclassified non-coding RNA is filed under the name uncultured Tetracladium. Its description in RNAcentral is "sequence contains ITS1". Lineage: Eukaryota; Fungi; Ascomycota. The record is from RNAcentral.